Molecule: ribosomal RNA, 1444 nt
Filed under: metagenome
Description: bacterial SSU rRNA
Rfam family: Bacterial small subunit ribosomal RNA
Source: RNAcentral
AGAGUUUGAUCCUGGCUCAGGAUGAACGCUGGCGGCGUGCUUAACACAUGCAAGUCGAACGAACCUUCGGGUUAGUGGCGGACGGGUGAGUAACGCGUGAGAAUCUGCCCUCAGGAGGGGGAUAACGGCUGGAAACGGCCGCUAAUACCCCAUAUGCCGAGAGGUGAAACGAGUUUUCGCCUGAGGAUGAGCUCGCGUCUGAUUAGCUAGUUGGUGAGGUAAUGGCUCACCAAGGCAUCGAUCAGUAGCUGGUCUGAGAGGAUGAUCAGCCACACUGGGACUGAGACACGGCCCAGACUCCUACGGGAGGCGGCAGUGGGGAAUUUUCCGCAAUGGGCGAAGGCCUGACGGAGCAACGCCGCGUGAGGGAUGAAGGCCUCUGGGCUGUAAACCUCUUUUCUCAAGGAAGAAGAUCUGACGGUACUUGAGGAAUAAGCCACGGCUAAUUCCGUGCCAGCAGCCGCGGUAAUACGGGAGUGGCAAGCGUUAUCCGGAAUUAUUGGGCGUAAAGCGUCCGCAGGCGGCCUUUUAAGUCUGUUGUCAAAGCGUGGAGCUUAACUCCAUUUCGGCAAUGGAAACUGGGAGGCUUGAGUGUGGUAGGGGCAGAGGGAAUUCCCGGUGUAGCGGUGAAAUGCGUAGAUAUCGGGAAGAACACCAGUGGCGAAGGCGCUCUGCUGGGCCAUAACUGACGCUCAUGGACGAAAGCCAGGGGAGCGAAAGGGAUUAGAUACCCCUGUAGUCCUGGCCGUAAACGAUGAACACUAGGUGUCGGGGGAAUCGACCCCCUCGGUGUCGUAGCCAACGCGUUAAGUGUUCCGCCUGGGGAGUACGCACGCAAGUGUGAAACUCAAAGGAAUUGACGGGGGCCCGCACAAGCGGUGGAGUAUGUGGUUUAAUUCGAUGCAACGCGAAGAACCUUACCAGGGUUUGACAUCCUGCGAAUCCCUUGGAAACUUGGGAGUGCCUUCGGGAGCGCAGAGACAGGUGGUGCAUGGCUGUCGUCAGCUCGUGUCGUGAGAUGUUGGGUUAAGUCCCGCAACGAGCGCAACCCACGUCUUUAGUUGCCAGCAUUGAGUUGGGCACUCUAGAGAGACCGCCGGUGAUAAGCCGGAGGAAGGUGUGGAUGACGUCAAGUCAUCAUGCCCCUUACAUCCUGGGCUACACACGUACUACAAUGCUACGGACAAAGGGCAGCAAACUCGUGAGAGCUAGCAAAUCCCAUAAACCGUGGCUCAGUUCAGAUCGUAGGCUGCAACUCGCCUACGUGAAGGAGGAAUCGCUAGUAAUCGCAGGUCAGCAUACUGCGGUGAAUACGUUCCCGGGCCUUGUACACACCGCCCGUCACACCAUGGAAGUUGGCCACGCCCGAAGCCGUUACUCCAACCCUUGUGGAGGAGGACGUCGAAGGUGGGGCUGAUGACUGGGGUGAAGUCGUAACAAGGUA